AGCUCCAAUAGCGUAUAUUAAAGUUGUUGCAGUUAAAAAGCUCGUAGUUGGAUUUCUGGUUGAAGCGACCGGUCGGGCGUUGAUUCGUCUGCACUGGAGUCGGUUUUGGCCAUCCUCUAGGAAAGUGCGUCUGGUAUUAAGUUAUCGGGCGUAUGAUCCUGGUCUUUUACUGUGAAAAAAUUAGAGUGUUUAAAGCAGGCCUUCGCCUUGAAUACAUUAGCAUGGAAUAAUAAGAUAGGACUUUGGUCUAUUUUGUUGGUUUGCAGACCGAAGUAAUGAUUAAUAGGGAUAGUUGGGGGUAUUUAUAUUCCGAUGUCAGAGGUGAAAUUCUUAGAUUUUCGGAAGAUAAACUUAUGCGAAAGCAUUUACCAAGGAUGUUUUCAUUAAUCAAGAACGAAAG
RNAcentral lists this ribosomal RNA (400 nucleotides) under phytoplankton environmental sample. RNAcentral's name for it is "partial small subunit ribosomal RNA". It matches the Rfam family "Eukaryotic small subunit ribosomal RNA", at positions 587 to 989 of the family's 1831-position model. The record is from RNAcentral.